This 344-nucleotide ribosomal RNA is filed under the name uncultured eukaryote. RNAcentral describes it as "SSU rRNA". It matches the Rfam family "Eukaryotic small subunit ribosomal RNA", at positions 567 to 907 of the family's 1831-position model. The record is from RNAcentral.
CCAGCAGCCGCGGUAAUUCCAGCUCCAGUAGCGUAUAUUAAAGUUGUUGCAGUUAAAAAGCUCGUAGUUGGAUUUCUGGUGUGGGGCGCCUGGCCCGCCGCGAUACGCGUGUGAGUGCUGGCGUGCCCCCGCCAUCCUUUCAGAGACCGUUUCUGCCCUUGAUUGGGUUGGAGACGUGGAUCUGGAUCUUUUACUUUGAAAAAAUUAGAGUGUUCAAGGCAGGCUCGCGCUGUGAAUACAUUAGCAUGGAAUAAUAACAUAGGACUACGGUUCUAUUUUGUUGGUUUCUAGGACUGAAGUAAUGAUUGAUAGGGAUAGUUGGGGGUGCUCGUAUUUAGCGGCCA